This 458-nucleotide long non-coding RNA is filed under the name Solanum lycopersicum (tomato). Its description in RNAcentral is "partial TCONS_00046185". The record is from RNAcentral. Lineage: Eukaryota; Viridiplantae; Streptophyta; Magnoliopsida; Solanales; Solanaceae.
UAAUUCCUCUAUAUAAACCCCCCGUCUUCUUCAGAAAAGGGGUUGGAAAAAUUUUGGGAUAUAUUUUUAUCACAUAAAGAUAUAGAGGAAUUUUGAGGAAGCUCUCCGAUUUUUUUUCUUACUAAUACUUUAGCUGGAAUUUCCUAGCAAGAUAUAUUCAUAUAAAGGGGGAAGAAUAAUCGAGCUACGAAAGCAUAGCAAGUUAAGAAGCAAGGGGUUGUUGUUCAAGUUGUGGAAGCUCGUCUUUGCUAGCUCGUCCGUCUCUAGUUCGCUGCCCCGAAGGAGGAUUUUUAUUGGUAAAAGGGCCCAAAUCUAAGUAAUUAGUUUAGGACAGGUGGGCCAAAAUCCAAAUGAAUAAAUUUGGGCAAUUAAGUCCAAGUUUAAAUAUUUUUCUCUCUUUAUUUAUUAUUUGUUUGAAUUAAUUAGUGUUUUGGUAGAAUUUUAAUAAUCUCCUGAAG